This 232-nucleotide long non-coding RNA is filed under the name Solanum tuberosum (potato). RNAcentral describes it as "long non-coding RNA (STUB_LNC007442)". Lineage: Eukaryota; Viridiplantae; Streptophyta; Magnoliopsida; Solanales; Solanaceae. The record is from RNAcentral.
UUCAAUUUCAUAUAUAACUUCGACCAUGUUAGUAUCUUGAACGUGUUACUGGUUCAUAUGUCUUCAUUCUUUUUAUUUUCUCUCUUCUGCUCUUACUUUCCCUUUUAAUAUAGUUUAAAAUAUCUGUAUAAGAUGAAAUGUUUAUUGUUUUGUCAAAUAGGUCAUUAAAUCUUUUCAUGCCUUUAAGGGGCUGUUUUAAUAAUGUUGUUGUCCGUCAUAGCAUUAAGAUAUA